GUGGCGGAGCUAAUUUACAGUCACUUCACGGACUCCACGCUGCACGAGACCACGCUGUUUGCUGUUCCAGUCGACGUCAUCGUCAUCUACGCUACCGCACAAGAUGACUGAGUGUUCUCCAAUCGAUCCUGAUUCACAAGAUCUCUUCUCUGACAAUGAGGAAGAUAUCAACGAACCAGGACCUUCUACUGCGAUCACAAAUGCUCCUAAAAAACGGAAGCCCGUCGCAGAAGAAAUUGAUUAGGAGAAUAUUCCAUCUGCACAACAAGCUAAAAAGGUAAAAUUCAAUGAAAAAUGGACAACCGAAUUUAAAAAUUUCAUAAUAAGCCUACUCAUGGAAAUAUGUAUAGGUCUUGAUAAAAAUGCAUUUCAAGAAAAGUUCCAAACAUUUUUUCUAACUUUACCAAAAAACUUGAAGUCAACAUUCUGGUUCAUUUAUCGUGUUUUGAUGACAGAUUCAGACGAAAAAUUAAUGAAUGCUGUAAUGCGAAAUCAAGCCUUGAUUUUACGCACCAUGUAUUCGAUGGAGAUUCCUUCCAAAGAAAUCAAACAAGCUUUAUUAGCUUUACAAAAUCACUUUUCAACAGCAGGUCAAGACGAGACAGAUUAUGGUACAUCUGCUUUGAAGACGCCGCCAGGCCACAUGUCCACAUUGUCCACAACUGUAACAGAGCCUACGGAACAUGUCGAUGCCUCUAUGGGCGACAAUUCGUGGCUCAAUUGGGAAGACCCAAAUUUGUCACGGUUGCAAAAGGAAGUGACACCGAAAAAAGAACAAAUCUCUUCCUCUAUCUUAGUAAUGAACACAAAGCAGAACACGCAAUAUACUUGGAGAGAGGAAUUAACGACACCGUUUCACUUCACAUUACAGCUUCACGAUGCGACGAAAAUGGCCAAACUAACCAAACAGAGACAGUCGACAGCAAAAAUACGGGACAUUCGGAUGUAUUGCGAUCCGAACGACCCGACGGACACACUGGGCCAAGCAAUCAAACAAAUAGUCUCGCACUCCCAAUCGACAUUACAGCAUUUAUUAAAUACGAACAAAGAGAACAUGGAAGUCGUACAAAAGUUUUCAAGAAUUGGUACAGUUAAUUUGUGAAAACUUAUGUUAUCCAUUGAAUAAAAUCCAAUUUACCAAUAUAUGGUUGAAUGAACCUACUUUAUGUACUCUUAGUGAACAAUUAUUAUCAAAUGUUAUUACUCAUAUACAAAUACUAACCAUGAAAAUGAAUGUACAAGAAAUUUAUAAUUUUAUUUUAAAAGCUAAAACUGUAUACUUUGAAGCUCAUUCAUGUGACUUUCUUGAAUUUUACUUUACUAGAACUGAAUCAUAUAAUUUAAUGUAUGAACUACUUGAAUAUCAAUUUAAUGAAGAUUAUGAUAGAAUAGCUGAAUUCAUUGUAAACCUGUUUAAUAUAAUAAACCGUACAAAUGGUAAAAAAAAUUGUUUGUCAAUUGUUGGACCUCCAAACAGUUUCAAAUCAACUUUUGUACCAGUGUGUUCUAGUGCAAUGAUAAACGCUGGUUGGUGUAACAAAAAUAACAAAUUUGUAAAUUAUGGAUUACAAGAAUGUGCUUAUAGACGAUUGAUUGUAAUGGAUGAUCCUAAUUUUGAUAUUGUUAGCUAUGAAACAUUAAAAUGUUUAUUUAGUGGAAAUAACAUUAAUAUUCAAGUUAAGUACAAAUCCGACUUUGUAUUAACAAAAACACCUGUACUUUUAUGUGCAAAUACUGAAAUGUUCAGAGGACCUGUAUGGGAUGAACGUAUU
Long non-coding RNA from Schistocerca nitens (vagrant locust), 1772 nucleotides. RefSeq lists it as uncharacterized. NCBI's taxonomy places the organism in Eukaryota, Metazoa, Arthropoda, Insecta, Orthoptera, Acrididae. The record is from RefSeq and is a predicted model, not a curated record. The transcript has 3 exons.